UGCCUAGCCGUAAAACAUUAACUUACACCAUAAUCGCCAGGGAAUUACGAGCCCAAACUUAAAACCCAAAGGACUUGACGGUGUCCCACCCACCUAGAGGAGCCUGUUCUAUAAUCGAUUCCCCCCGAUAAACCCAACCACUUCUUGCCUUUCAGCCUGUAUACCUCCGUCGCAAGCUUACCAUAUGAACGACCCCAGUGAGCUAAAUGACCCUACAUCAACACGUCAGGUCAAGGUGCAGCUUACGAAGUGGAAAGAAAUGGGCUACAAUUUCUAAAAUAGAACAAACGAACAGCCACAUGAAAUAUGGCUAUGAAGGCGGAUUUAGUAGUAAAGAGAGAAUAGAGAGCUCUUUUUAACAAGGCACUGGGACGAGU
RNAcentral lists this ribosomal RNA (377 nucleotides) under Hoplophryne uluguruensis (African banana frog). RNAcentral describes it as "partial 12S ribosomal RNA". It matches the Rfam family "Bacterial small subunit ribosomal RNA", at positions 793 to 1384 of the family's 1533-position model. The record is from RNAcentral. Lineage: Eukaryota; Metazoa; Chordata; Amphibia; Anura; Microhylidae.